AUUGGGCGUAAGCGCGCGCAGGUGGUUUCUUAAGUCUGAUGUGAAAGCCCACGGCUCAACCGUGGAGGGUCAUUGGAAACUGGGAGACUUGAGUGCAGAAGAGGAAAGUGGAAUUCCAUGUGUAGCGGUGAAAUGCGUAGAGAUAUGGAGGAACACCAGUGGCGAAGGCGACUUUCUGGUCUGUAACUGACACUGAGGCGCGAAAGCGUGGGGAGCAAACAGGAUUAUAUACCCUGGUAGUCCACGCCGUAAACGAUGAGUGCUAAGUGUUAGAGGGUUUCCGCCCUUUACUGCUGAAGUUAACGCAUUAAACACUCCGCCUGGGGAG
Molecule: ribosomal RNA, 328 nt
Filed under: Bacillus cereus
Lineage: Bacteria; Bacillati; Bacillota; Bacilli; Caryophanales; Bacillaceae
Description: bacterial SSU rRNA
Rfam family: Bacterial small subunit ribosomal RNA
Source: RNAcentral